RNAcentral lists this ribosomal RNA (502 nucleotides) under uncultured bacterium. RNAcentral's name for it is "bacterial SSU rRNA". It matches the Rfam family "Bacterial small subunit ribosomal RNA", at positions 33 to 507 of the family's 1533-position model. The record is from RNAcentral.
ACACGCUGGCGGCGUGCCUAAUACAUGCAAGUUGAACGCAACAAAGACACCAGAGCUUGCUCUACCGUUUUUGUUGAGUAGCGAACGGGUGAGUAACGCGUGGGUAACCUGCCUUAUAGCGGGGGAUAACUAUUGGAAACGAUAGCUAAUACCGCAUAACAAUAGAGAUUGCAUAAUCUUUAUUUGAAAGUGCCAACUGGUACACUAUGAGAUGGACCCGCGUUGUAUUAGCUAGUUGGUAGUGUAAUGGACUACCAAGGCGAUGAUACAUAGCCGACCUGAGAGGGUGAUCGGCCACAUUGGGACUGAGACACGGCCCAAACUCCUACGGGAGGCAGCAGUAGGGAAUCUUCGGCAAUGGACGAAAGUCUGACCGAGCAACGCCGCGUGAGUGAAGAAGGUUUUCGGAUCGUAAAACUCUGUUGUUAGAGAAGAAUGUUGAUUAGAGUGGAAAAUUAAUCAAGUGACGGUAUCUAACCAGAAAGGGACGGCUAACUACGUG